AACUAUUAACCCAUUCCACACUCAAUUGCCAGGCACCUUUCUUUUCAUUAGCUAAGAAACCAUCAUUUUGGGCAAUCCAACACACAAAACUCCCCACCUUUUACUUCCUCAAUCUCCUCUCUCGGCUCUCUCCCAGAGGACACAACAGGGAAGCCAAAAAGAAAAAAAGAAAAUCUCCAUCCUUCUCGGCUCUCUCCCUCACAGAACAAAAAGAAGAAAACACUCCCUCACUUUGCACACGGCUCACUCUCUCCCUCUCUCGGACUUGGGCAGAGGAAAGAAACAGAAAACACACAAGAAGAAGAAGAAAAAUCCCCCUCAAUCUCUCGGUUCUCCUUUCUCUUUCCCCUCUCAAUCUCACACACACCUACAUUGAGGUAAUUUUAGUUUUGUUUAGCACAUUAAGGCCAUGCUUCAUUGUUUAAUUUUCUUUUGCUUUUGCUGGUUUCCUUGUUGUUGUUGUAUUGUUAAAAAAUUGGGAAAUGGCAUGAACCAGAUUUAGGAAAAGGAAAGGUUUCUUGUGAAUGCAUGUUAAUUGUUUGAAAAAAUGCCAAAAAGAAUUUUAGGGACUGUUUUACCUUAAUGUAGUCUUUUGUUGUUGUUUUCUGGUUAGCUAAGAUUAUAGUUGUAAUGUAGAGAUUAUAAGGAGUAUUGUAAUAUAUUUUUUAUGAUUUUUGGUGGGGGUUUAAAGGUUUUAAAAAAAUAAAAACUGGACUGAUUUCUUGGCUUUUUGGCCACUUUAGGGCCAAUUUUUGUUAAAACUAAGCCCGAAAAUGGAAUCUACGCGAAAAAUCGAGUGAGGGGUGUAUUUUG
RNAcentral lists this long non-coding RNA (813 nucleotides) under Coffea arabica (coffee). Its description in RNAcentral is "long non-coding RNA (CARA_LNC000611)". Lineage: Eukaryota; Viridiplantae; Streptophyta; Magnoliopsida; Gentianales; Rubiaceae. The record is from RNAcentral.